UACGUAGGGGUGCAAGCGUUAAUCGGAAUUACUGGGCGUAAAGCGUGCGCAGGCGGUUGUGCAAGACAGAUGUGAAAUCCCCGGGCUCAACCUGGGGAAUUGCAUUUGAGACUGCGUAGCUAGGGUGCGGAAGAGGGAAGCGGAAUUUCCGGUGUAGCGGUGAAAUGCGUAGAUAUCGGAAGGAACACCAGUGGCGAAAAGCGGCUUCCUGGUCCAGCACCGACGUCAGGCACGAAAGCGUGGGGGAGCAAACAGG
This 256-nucleotide ribosomal RNA is filed under the name uncultured bacterium. RNAcentral's name for it is "partial 16S ribosomal RNA". It matches the Rfam family "Bacterial small subunit ribosomal RNA", at positions 524 to 776 of the family's 1533-position model. The record is from RNAcentral.